This is a long non-coding RNA of Carassius carassius (crucian carp), 638 nucleotides long. RefSeq lists it as uncharacterized. The transcript has 6 exons. The record is from RefSeq and is a predicted model, not a curated record. Lineage: Eukaryota; Metazoa; Chordata; Actinopteri; Cypriniformes; Cyprinidae.
CUUAAGGUUCACAUUGAGAGCUGCAGGCCUAUGACUUAAUGUUCCAAUCACCUGCCACCAACAUUAGAGAACGAACACCUAAAUGCACAGACUUCAGACAGUGAUUCACUCAUCAACCAGUCACCCACUGAGGAAAAUACUGACCAACUGUUCAUCGAUUUAACAGAUGAAAAAACGGACAUGGAACUGCAGAAGAUGAAGAGCGAAGAAUCUGAGAAUAGACGCAGAAAGGCUAUAGAUGAGAGACGAGCGCGAAUCGCAAGUUUACCUGAACUUGCUCAUGGUGUGCCACUAAAAGUAAAAUAUCCAAGUGGCUUAAUGAGGACCAGGAAAUUUAUUUUAAGUGAAUCAAUUAAGGCACUGUUUGACUUCGUUGGAGAGGUGGAGGACGCUACAGAAUGGUUCCAUAUUCAGGAAGCCUUAUCACCACCACUUAGAAAUGACCUAUGUAGAACCAUUUUUUAAAGAAAUAUCAGAGGGCCAACCACACUUUUUGUCCAGUGGAUUGCCUCCGAAGACGCAGAGUUUAUGCAGACCAUUCUUGCACCUGAUGGUAAUGACAACCAUAAUAAAGAUGAUUAUAAUUCUGGGACUGUCAGCCCAUUGGAUCAACCUAGCACCUCUAAUGAGCAUCUGGC